Mesocricetus auratus (golden hamster) is the source of this 12176-nucleotide long non-coding RNA. RefSeq lists it as uncharacterized. The transcript has 3 exons. NCBI's taxonomy places the organism in Eukaryota, Metazoa, Chordata, Mammalia, Rodentia, Cricetidae. The record is from RefSeq and is a predicted model, not a curated record.
UCUGCCUUCCGAGUGUUGGGAUUAAAGGCAUGUGCCACCAAUGUCUGGCCCAUGUCUGUUUUUUUGUUUUUUGAGAUAGGGUUUGAAUACAUGGCCUGGCUGGCCAGAAACACAUUAUCCUACUCCCUCAACUUCUUGAGUACUGGGAUUAUAAUACAUGCUGGUAUAAUACAUACCACAUCUGGAACAAAUUCUAAAUACAUCUUGACAGCGAGACUAGCAGAAUUCCAAGUGGUUUGGGCACUGGCAUGAGAAAAAGUGAGUGGUGACUAUUUUUGCCAUGGUAAGGGCAGUUGACAAAAGCGACAAACAAGGGUGAGGAGAAGUAAGGUACAUGCUUCUAGGAAUGACCAGGGGUGAGUAUGGAGAAGAAAAUGGAAAGGAAUCCAGAGGGUGGAGAUUUUAAAAGCUCAGUGUGGUGUCCUGGCAUCAGAAAGGCAUGUUGAGUUUUUUGUAUUUGUUUUUAAUUAUAUAUAUAUCGUGUACUCAAGUGUGUGUUUGUUCAUGUGAGUGCAUUGCCUGGAGAGUCCAUAAGAGGGUGUUAGAUUUCCUGGAGCUGCGGGUUACCCAAAGUGGGUGCUGGGAACCGAACUCAGGUCCUUUGCUAGAGCAAUAUGGGUGCUUAAGCCCUGAACCUUAUCUCUAACUUUUCUUUUUAUUUUUUGAGGCAGGAUCUCAUCCUGAUUGGCAUUGUAGACGAGGUUGGGUAUAUAGACCAGGCUGUCCACAAACUCACAUUGAUCUGGCAAAUUCUUGGAUUUUAAACACAUACCCUACCACCCUUGGACCCAGGGAAGCCUCUUCAUCCAGAGGGAACCAGUGAUCCUGGCCAGUGCAGAACAGUCCACACACCAUCUGGAUCUAAAGGUCUACAGAGGAGCUGUGCUGGGGGAUUGGUUGAGCCUUCUAAUCACUCUAGCCUUCUCUGGGAAGUGGAAGCAAUCAUAGCUGGAGCAUAGCAAUGGCGGCAGCCACACAAACAGACAUCCCACUUACCACAGUGAGAAAUGUACCCAUACUUCUUUAUAAUGAAAGAGAUAUUUCUUUGAUUUUUAAAUAGAUUUUGUUAAUAAUGGGUGAAAACACCACAAUCAUACCUAGCAGUGGUAAAAUAACACUAAUACACAGAUUGGCUUGGAAGCCAGAGAGCAAUACAAUAGGAAGGUAAAAAGCCAGCUUCCAUGCUUCAACCUACAGCUACCAUGAGAGGCAUGUGCCACCACCCUGUGCAUGACACCAGACUUUCUACAGCAGUUGAGAUACGUUUCAUGUCUUCAUUACUAGCAAAUGGAGCAUAGCACAGGUCACAGGUUUCUCCUCUAUCACUAACUGACACACAAGGAUGAAGGAUACCACCACUCAGCCUAAGAAAAGUCAAGAUUUUCUCAUACUUAAUAAAAAUGAUAAGAUCUUUAUUGCAUAUUAGUUUAAAACAAAUUUGCUAAUCUGAUGUGCUAGAACUACGGAGAGAUUAAUAUAAUGUACCGGUGCCUCUGAAUUAAUUGAUGACUAGAAUUUGCACAUCUUGCCAGUGUACUGGUGCUCUUGAUGUAGUUUUCUGAUAGGCAUGACAUUGGCAGCACACGGACAUGAAUGAUGCCUCCUGGGGGACUUUUUGUAGCACACAGUUUUGGGUCUUACAACACUGGUUCAACAUAUUGAGUGCUGUGUUUUGUUGCUUAACUUGAAGAUGUCACUUCUUCUCCAGCCGUGAAGUUUAUGCCCAACUGAGUAGCACAUACCAUUUGUGGACCACUUUGUCUGAACUGGCUUUUAAAUUAUGCGGGACACCCAGGACGCUGAUAUGGCUGUUAGGUACUUGCAGAUGUAAGAUGGAUAGAGCAUUUAAGACCAUCAGGACAGGAACUUUACCGAGAUGCACAUAGUGAUAUGUGUUACGUUUAGUGAGUGUGUCAAAGUCUUGGACUGAUUCAUUUGACUCUAGUCUGGGGAGGUUGAUUGAGGAGAAUUGCUUGUUGGUAGAACACAUAGCUACAAAGGCAGGGCAUUCCUCACAAUAGAAGACAAGUUUCAAAAAGGUAGUUGUAUUGCCUAUUAGACCAAUUUCCCAUGAGUAUUCAAAUCAGAAAUCACAAUGGAAGUACAGGUGAAAAUCGGUUUGUCUCUGUCUUUUAUUUUACACACAAUCCCCUUGAAGUUGUGGCACAUGCUGCUAUAUGGCUAAAAAAAGAAUAAUCAGCUUCCCUUUGUCUCUUCGAUAGCGUCCCUUUUCUACCCUGAGACAUUCCAUGAAGCUUUUCGACAUUUGAAAACUAGAAGGGUACUCUGUAAGUAAGCAAAGCUAUCCUGUAGUUUCUCCUGAAGCUGUUGAGAAAGCUGAACCUAAAGCAAAGUUUUGGUUUUGCAGUCUUCCCACAGGAAAGUGUCUUGUUUUUCCCUUUCAUCUUUAGGUUCCAGUAUGAAUGAAUGAUGGGUGAUUGGGUUCCAGCAAUUUAUGGUGUUCUCUGGGACAGCCAACCCUCUUUGGACAGGUUAUAAUUUGAUAAGGCAGCUUUAAAGCCAGCCACCUCCCCCUGUGUUCCAUGACCACUCACACACCCUGUGUUAUCCGUGAGUUCAGCCUCACCUGCUAAGAGGGUCAUGUGUUUCUGGCUUGUAUUCGCCUACAUCAACUCUGAGAAAGAAUCAGAUUCUGGAAUAUAACCAAAAUUCAUGUUUAUUUGCAUUUUUUUGAACUACAUCUAGGCGAUUUAGUAGAAGAAAAUGUUCCACUCUGUAAAAUAAGUUACAAUUUCAGGGAUAUGCAAGUCAAGAAGGGAAUUUGGUCUGCACGAAGUGCUGGCGCUUCUGUUCAUAUUAAUGUAACAUUUUCCAUGUUUCAAAUCAUUCUAAGGAUGUGUUGCUGUCUCCCAUGCAAUAUUUCUGCCCAAGCAAUGAGGAAUUAGACCCGAAGAAGUUUCAAAUAAUUUCCUUGAGAUUAUAAAGUCAUUAAGUGCUCCCCCCAAAAAACAGGGCUCCAGAUCAACACCUUUUCUCCCUUGAAUAGGUAAUAUACCAUAGAAAUGUGUGUAUCCACAUGGUUACAUUUUCUGUUAUUAAAGAGGCAAACUGAAAGCAAAGAUCUCUCCAUGAGUCUUGCUCUUCACUCGCUCAGGUGGCCCCAUACUAGUCAGUAUUGGCCUGUCCUUUGUCUCGUUCUAGCUGCAAGGUUUGAAUCUGAAAUGUCACCCAUAUACUAGUGUGACUGUUCAGAAAGGUUGCAGAACCUGGAGGAGCUGAGUCAUGUUGGAGGAAGUGGGCCAUUGUGGGCAGGCCUUAAAGGUUUAGUCAGCCUUGCCUCUUCAUCACUCUUUUCCUGACUGACCAUCAGGUGUGACCAGCUAGCCUCCAGUUCCUGCCACCAUGCCUUCCUUGGUAUGUUAGGAUGUAUCUUCUCCAAACUUAAGCCAAAAGAAAUGAAUUCUUCAUUAAAUUAUUUUUGCCAGCUAUUUUAUCACAAGAACAAUAAUUAAGGAAGAAGACUGGUAUCUCAAAGUGGGACUUUUGCUAUGACAGCCCCAACUGUGUGGUUCUUAGGGUUUUGGAACUAGUUUGUAGGUAGAAUAUGGAAAAUUUUGAAAUGUUGGGCUAGAAAAUUUGCCAAAAGUCACAACAGAACUUAAUACACUGUUAUUGUGGGAGUAUGGAAGACCAGAAGGCUGAAAGACAUGAAAAUGUGGAAGCUAAACUUUUGGAGUCUCAGAGGUGAACAAGGGCUCUAUUGGUUACAAGGCUGUAAGUCAUUCAUAGGAUAUUCUGGCAAAGAGGUUGGCUACAUUCUGACCAUGUCCUGAGAACUAGAGGGUGAAUUUAUAAGCAAUAGACUAAUGUGCUUGGUAGAAGGAAUUCCAAGGCAGGACAGGACUCAGUAUUACAUGGCUAUUGCUCGCCACUCUUACACAGAUCUACACUGAAAACAGCAGCACGUGGGGACGGAAAGAUGUAAUGGAAGUGGUUUAUCAAAGAAAGAGCUCAAGCACAUCAGAAUUGCAGUCACAGUGUGUGUUGAAAAGAGCCUGUAGUUGUUAAAGAGAAUCUCCUCUAUGCCAGGACAAUGGGAAAGGUCCUCUGAGAGUAAGACCCCCAUUACAUAAAAGGCUACAGCUUAUGAAAAUGAAAAUUUUUUUAAGAAGACAGAGCCUCAACUCAGAAUUCUGGAUGAGAUCCCUGCUUUUGGAAAAUAAAUGUCUAGGGAAGCGUUUUCUCAGGAUUAGCACACUGAAGCUGUUGCAACUGUAAUCCACUAGGGUCAGUAUCCACCCCAAGCUGGCAGCAGGACUUAACAGCCUCAUUGAUGUGGUGCUGAUUUUGUAAGCAUGAAAGAUGCAAGGUUGAAAGAAUCAUAGAGUCUUACUUCCUGUAUCCUGAGAUGAUUAUGAGCUUAUGAGUGUUGGAAGUAGAAUGAUAUGGUCUGAAUAAAAAAUGCACCCCCAUGGUCUCAUGUGCUUGAAGGUUUGCUGCUCUGGUGAUGGGAAUGUUUGGGAAGCUUGUGAAACCUGAACAGGGUGGAGCUUUUGCCAUGGAGCUUUUGCCAGGAACAAUGGGCCAGAGAGUGUGGGUCUUGAUGUUUUAUAGCCUGACUCCCACUCUUGGUUACUGUCUGCUCAUGAAGACUGUGAGUGAAAUGUGACUAACCUACCUCAAGGUCUCCUCUGCCUUCCCUGCCAUGAUGGACUAUGUACCUUCAGACUGAAAGCCAGAGUAAAUACUUCCUUCAAUUGUUUCCUGUCAUGUAUUUUCUGCUUUUUCUUCCUGAGCCACAACCACUCCCUUUCAUUCUCACUCAUGUUUUAAUUCCUGAAUGCUACUUCCUGCUUUUCUCUUUCUACUUAAGCCUUAGUUACUUCUCUCUUGUUGUUAUAAAACACCCUGACCAAAGAAACUUACAGAAGAAAGUUUAUUUGGUGCUUACAGUUUCAGAGGGUUACUCCACGAUCAUCAUAAUAGGGAGCAUAGCAGCAACAGGUUUGGCCCUGGAUCAGUAGCUGAGAGUUCAUAUCUUUAUCCACAAUUAUGAGGCAGAGAGAACUAAUUGGAAAUGGUGUAGGCUUUUGGAAUCUCAAAGCCCAUCCUAGUCAUAUACCUCCUCCAACAAGGCCAAACCUCCUAAUCCUUCCCAAAUAGUUUCAUAACUGCGAACCAAAUAUUAAAGUAUAUGAUCCUAUGGGGGAUGUUCUCAUUCAAACCACCACUACAUAUAUUGUUAUGCAGACAUUUCCUUGGAAUUGAACAUUCCUUCCUCAAGGAGAAAGGGGUGUUAUGGAAUAUUAGUUAAAGAUGUGUUACAUUUGUUUAUGCUAUGGGACAUUUGUUUACUGAUGCAAUGAUGUGUUGCAUUCUUUUAUAUUGCAUUUCCUUAACUAUGAGAAGCUGUGUUACUUUGCCUGCCUAAAACACCUAAUAAAGAGCUUGUCCAAUAGCUAGGCAGGAGAAAGAAUAGGCAGGGCUGGUAGGCAUAAAAAUAAACAGGAGAAGAAGUCUGGGAAGAAAUGAUUGAGGAGUCACCCAUCUACACAGCAAGCCAUGAAGAAGUAAAGAAAGGCAUAUAUAGGAUAGAGAAAUAUGAAAGUUCAGAGGCAAAAGGGAGACAGGCUAACUUAAGAAAAGCUGGCUAGAAACAAGCCAAGUGAGAGCCGAAAAUUUAUAAGAAAGGAUAUGUCUCUGUGGUUAUUUGGGAGCUGGGUGGUGGGCUCUCAAAGAGCAAAGAGAAAAAAAACUCAACUACCAAGAGCUGGGGCGGGGGUCUCUUAAUACUGAGGAUCUUGAGGAAAGUUGUAAGAAUGAUGAAGUUCUAUCUAUAUUGCUGUACUUUAAAUGAUCCUGCAUGGAAAGCAUAUAAUUGGGCCUAUUGGGUUGAACAAUGAGUUCUGAGAGGUCUAUGUGCAAAUUACUGGGUUCUUUGCAAGUUACCACUCAUGACAAAGGAGGCUUUGUAGAUGUAACUAAAGAGCUUGCGGUGACAGAAGAUGAUCUUCCAUUUCCAGUUAAACCCCAAAUAUGAUCACGAGUCGUAUAAGGCAAAGACAGAGAGUUUUGAUAGAAAAGAGAAAGUUAGGUAAAAGAACCAGAGAGGAAUUUGAAGAUAAAGGCUGCCAGCUGUUGAGGAGUAGGAAGAGGCUGCGAUUCAGAUUCAAGGAAUGCAGGCGGCAGAUGGGUCAGUGGAUAAAGUACUUGCUGCUUGGUCCGUAUCAUCUGGAGUAAGAUCAUUUGGUAGCAGUUCUUGACUCUGAACAUGUGUAUUUAUUAAAUAUUCAGCAAGCAUCAGCAAAAGAAUAAAUAGGAAAAGUGGACAAAUAGCAAAACAUCGUCUGAUCACAGUUUGACAGCAUCCAGCAAGGACAAUUGUAGCCACCAAAUGAGAGCAAGCAAGAGUGACAUCAUCAAUACUAAUUCAAGCUUCCAUGCACCCAGUUGAAAAUGGCUGGGAAAAGUGAGGUGGUCACCUAGAGUUUCCAGCUGAGCUUCUCUCAAUGGAUGAGCAUCCAGCUUCCUGUUCCCAUGACAGACAGGCAGCCAUUUUUAUAUCAUGGGAUUAAACAAGGGUAUAUCUGUUGGAAAUGGUUCACUUCCAGUUGUUCUCAAGGCACAGUAUUUUAAUACCCUUGGCUGUUUGUACUUUCUUCUUCUCUCACUUACAGUGUCAGGGGCCAGCCUGACCCAGGACAGGGAGUUUCAGAGGAUGCUUGACAUAAACAUUUCAGUCUGUUGUAGGGGGCACAUUCUCAGUGAGUUCAGACAUCACAUGGCAGUUUACCAAGCUAAUUUACAUUAUACAAUGCAAGAAUGAGGACAAUGAGCUGGAAUCCCUAGCAUGUAUGUAAGUACUGGGUGGGCAUGUUAGCUCACUUGUAAUUCCAGUGUUAAGAAGGCUGAGACAGGGAACUCCCAGAAUUUAGAUGCUAGUUAGUUAGACUAGUCAUAUUGACCAGUUCUGUGUUCAAUUAAUAGACCUUGUCUCAAUGAAUAAGGUGGGAAGCAAUCAAGGAAGACUACUGAGAUUAAUCUCAGGCUUCUAUACAGAAGUACACACUUCCAUGCACUUUCUCACACACACGUGAACAUGCACAACACAAGUCAAAACAUUCAAAGUAAAAACUAUGUAAAAUAAGACACAGAUUCUCUCCAACAGCCUCCUUUGGGGACACUUCUCCACUGAGCUAUUUUUCACUUUAGCCCAGCAAAACUGAUGAAGGACUUGGCCUCUAGACUAAUAAGAGAAUAAACUAUGUUAUUUCAAGUCUGUGAAGUUGCGAUAAUACGUUACAACAUCAAUAGGAACCAUCACGUUGAGUUCUAACGUUUGAUCUUAUCUUAUUCUUCCGGUUCGUUAUUUUUUAAAGAUAUGUUAGUGCUUAUGUGAGUCAUUAAUUUUUCUUGUGUUUUUCAUUUUUUAUUUACCUUCUUGUCUUCUUACAGGUUACUGUGGCGCCUUUGGACUGCUACUUGAGUUCAUCUAUCAUGUCUCUGUAGCGCUGAUUUUGCAUGCUCUAACUGUUAUACACUCUCCAUCAAGUGAGGGUGGGUGAGGGUACCUACCUGCUAAUGGGAGAUCCUGCUGUUACCACUUCCCAUUAGGCUUCUUCUAGUGUCACUCAAGCAACAAGGGAGAGUUGCCCCACUGCAGAUAACAAUGGUGGACAUUUGAACUCCACACCACAUUACCAUGGGCACCAUAAGAAGAAUUACUUUGUUUCCCUCUACUAGGGUUUGAAAUCUCAUCUCCUUAUUGUUCUUCAUUGAUAUCACAAUGGCAGGAAAUUUUAGGUGUUCCUUGUGACCUGGUGUGGGUAGAAUUCUAGGUUCCCAUUCAGUUUUUGCUUGUGUGGAUGGACCUCAAGAUGCUGGUUCUCCUAUGGUAUCUAAACAUUUUCUGACUUGAGAGUCUUUACCUUUCUUGGUCAUUUUGGGGGGCAUUUUGCUUGAAGUCAUUGACUUUUUCAUUUUAUAUUUAUUCAAGCCCAUGUCUAGGUCAUAUGAGGAGAAAGCAAAUCCAGGGAGUUAAUCUCUGUGUCUUACAUUUGGUCCUAAGUUCCUUUACUGCGCUGCAUUCUCUCUCCAUUAUUUAGAGUCUUCUUAUAUUUCUUACAAUGUAUAUAAAGUAUCUCAGUGCUUUACUUACAGGUUACAAGAGAAAUAAGAAACACAGCCUGGUAAGUAAUGUUCCAUCUUUCUAGAUGCAAAGUCCAUUCAACAUUUUACCCUCCAGCACGUCAUGGGAAACCACGUCAAGCCAACUUCUGGCUGCUGUAGUCCAGUGAGAUGCACCAUUUUUACCACGAAGGGCCUCUGAUACAGUUAACAGUCUAGAUAGGCUGCGGCAGUAUCUGCACCACAGACCCUGACAGGAGCCACUCACAUCCCUCUGCCUGGGUGACAGCUAUGGUGUGCUGCUGAGCUGCUAGCCCUGCUUGCGGCCUCUCUCCUCAUCAUGGUGGGAGUCUCUGCAUGAUUUAACAUCCAUUGAGACAGACCCAAACCAGCAACUGAAUGGAGUAGUAGUUGUGUGUGUGCUCCAGUUACCUUCACCCUUCCACUUAGGGACAACUCUGAGACAACUUAUCUUCUAUCUAGAAUUUUCCUCCUGGAUGAAGGUUCACUUGUCCACAGUGGUAGGAGGGCUGGGAUGCACACUUAUGGAUUGACUCCCCUUGUCUGUUUCAUUUUUUAUACCUCCAAGACACAUGUCCUGGGUCUUCACCACAUAGUCGGCCGUGCCUCCUUUACUGCACACAGCUAGCCUUCAGGUUUGGUUCCCAGUGAUGGAGACAUUUGGUGUGGGACCUACCUUGAAGAAACAUCACUCAGGGCCUCUGAAGUUCAUAUCUGAACCCCGCUCUCUUCUCUCUCUGCUUCUUUUAAACCAUGAAGACUAGUGACUGCCUUGAUUGGGAGAGUGAGAGUGACAUCUUCUCUCAGCUCCUUGAUGCCAUGUGGACACACUGUCAGGAAGAGCUUCCAUCAGGAGGAAAACGACGCAGGGAAAAGCGAGCCUGGUCACCUGAAGCACCUGAAGCCGCAAGAUUUUGUGUGGCACUAAUCAUCUUGUGAGCAAAUGGCGGAGAUGUGCUUUGCGGCGUGUUCCAGGCACAAAUGCUGCAACAUGCAGGGGUGCUAGGUCCCUGACAGUGUCAUAUUAAUUUAUGGCAAGUAAACAGCCAUUACCAGGAUUCAUAAAAGGGAUAAUUAAUGGUAUUGUUAGCUUUUAAAAAAUAGAAAAUAAAUGGCCACUUACUAGUGGUUUUGAAAUGCUAAUGAAUUACUGUGGGAUCACUUCCAGUGUGUCACGUUUAUCUCCCCAAAGCCAGUUCUGCACAUGCAGUGUAGAAUUCUCCUGGCUGUUACUCCUAAGUUGACCUUCCUAGCAUAUUGUAAAGGAAAAUGGAAGACUGUCCUUUGGAGACCCCCUUGGUGGUGGUCUUAGGUGGGGUGCUUUCUGGCAGGGCAAGGUGGGCAGAAAUCCCUGUUGGGGGAUGAUUUGCUAAUAUUUAUAAUUUUAAAUAUAAAUUUAAAAAUAAUUAUUAUGUGUGUGUGCAUACACAUGCACAUCAAUUACAUUUCGAGUGUGGAGCUCAGGGAAGAACUUUUAGGAAUUGGCUUCUCUCCUUGCACUGGGGUUCAGGGCAUGGAACACGGGGGCUCAGGCUUGCAAGGCAGGGACUUUUACCCCUGGUGCAUCUCAAUGGCCUGAUUUGCUGGUGUUUCUAAAAAGGUAUUGAAGAACAGGCAACAGAAUGAUCUACAAGUUAGGUGAGGCAUGGGAAUUCAGCAAAAAAUACAAUAGUGAACUGUGGUGGAAUCCAGUUGGUAAAGUGCUCAUUUUGAAAGCACGGAGACCUGAGUUCAAUUCCCUUAAUCCAUGUAAAAAAACCUGUGGCACAAGUCCACAUAAUUCCAACAUUGGAGAAGCAGAGGCAGUCUGCUCUUGAGACAAAUCCCUAAGCCUCUGGUUCCAGUGAGAGACUCUGUUUCGAAACAGUGUGGGUGAUUCCCAUGGAAGGGUAUCCAAGGCUGACCUCUGACAUGGAUAUACAUGUAGACACCACCCCCACUAAAUGCACUAAAACAAGAUGACAGAUGAAAUGAAAUCAGCCUUUAGAAACUACAUUUCUCAAAGUCAGGACAUCACCUUCUGGUCUUCUGCUUCUGGUCUGGACCGUUUGGGAAAUACUGCAGGAGGAACUGUUGUUCCAUGGGGUUCAAAGCUUUGUUAUCUUCCAAAUUACUCAUCCCUAAGCAUUCUUGAACAUUUUGUCAUUGGUUCCGAUUCUCCUAUGUUCACAAUGCAUAUUCAUACUUCAAAAAAAGAAAAAGACCCUGCCUCUCUCCCUUUUUCCCCACCCCCUCCUCAGCUGACCUCCAGGGCAGAGGCAAACAAAGGACUCUGUCCUUAUUCUUCCAGGAGCAAAGAUGAGCACACUAGCUCACCAUGCCACCCAGUCACUCGAUUUUGCAGCCUUGCCUUGGUCAAUUGUGAUGAGGACAGCUCUUCCAUAGGACCCAGUAGAGACAUAUUGGUCCGUGGGAAACAGGGAAGCCCAAUCUAGCCCCGUGGUUAGAGAGUUCUCAUCACAAAUUUGCUCAAGCACUUUCCACAGGCCCGUCUCAUUUUAUUUUCCCUCAAUUCAUGGGUUUUAAGAAUUAGAGCUGUUGGGUAGCCCCUUCUGCUAAUGUCAAAGGUUCAGUGUUCAGCACUGAAGAAAUCUCAAGUAAACAGACUUGUCUCCAACCUCCACUAGCCCAAAAAACUUUCACAAAGGAGCACAAAGCGACCUGUGCAAGACAAACAAACAUACAUACAUACAUACAUACAUACAUACAUACAUACAUACACCCAGUCCAGGAAGCAGUCACAUUUGGGGAAAGCUUUGGGGAAAGCUUUUUUGUUUACUAAGGCCCAUGAAGAGGUUCCCCUCACCCCUCCUUCUAAAUUAGCAGCAGCAGUGUGCUGCCUUGGAACACAGAGGGUACCAGGAGCCCUUGGGACACUUCUCUUGCUUCCACAGUUAAAGGAAAAGCUGCUUUAAUUGCACUGCAAUCUUUAGAGGAAGGCCCACUGCAGUCCACACUUUGAGGAUUUAUACAUGGCUCUUACUAACUCCACAAUUAUACGUUUGAAAUAUAAACAGCUCAGUGGCAAUUGGCUUCAUUUUUUGCUCUUGUUUUAAAACUCAUCCUUCUCCUACCUUUGAAGUGCACAGAGCUCUCUUAGUCACCGGGCAUUCUGGAUGGCAAAAUGUUAAGCAGGAGAACUUAUUUUUUGUGCUAACAAAUGUUUUCCUUAGAGAUUAAAAAAACAUUUUAGACAGAACUUUUAAAAAAAGGUAUAAAUCAAGUCAGAUGGAGGAGAAAUUCCCCCAAGGAACAAUGUCUUUAUCUACAAGAUGCUUCGGGUCUCCAAGAUGCUCCAAGAGGGUACAGCUUCUACAGACAGGGGGGAUGGCCAUGGAGACAUGCAGUCAAAGAAGCUUUUCCUCUAAGGGGAUUUAUUACAAUGCUAAAAAGGGCAAGCAGUAGGGGCUGACUGUGUGGCUGUGUGGCAGAGAACUCGCCUAGCAUGCAAGGCCUUGGGUUCCAUCCCCAGCAACAAAGAUGAAAAAAUAAGGGCAGAUAAUGAUAAGGUAAUAAGGUACAGAAUUAACAAGACAAUCUCAGCACCUUUAAAAAGGUUUCUAGCCAGCAUUCUGCCAUUGCAUAUGAAUAGCUGAGAGCCAUUUCUCCUGGGCUCUGAUCAGCAGAUUUGAUAUAUGGAUUGCGAUCAAUUUUUUCUUAUGGCAAAUCUAUAUGUUAUUCUCUGUCUUCAUUUGGUGCUAUUUGCUGAGUGGCUGUUACUUGGGGGCAGAGGUCGCUCUCUGGCAGUGGAGGCAGCCGGGUAAUCUUUUAGUCUUCAUAAGAAGACUGCGAGAUAUUAAAUCACACUUGACGUACCUGAGGCCCAGCAACUUCAUCCAUAUUUUAUCUGCUGUAAAUUUAAUACCACAGCACUUUUUAGGGUGAUGUAUUUAUUAACUGGCUGGGGAUGAGCAGUACAGAAAUUCAGUUUGUUCAGGAAAAUAAAAUGAAGACAGUCUGACAAGUUUGAGAAGUAAGCACAAUGGCUAUUUAUUACUUUUUAAACACACGGUUUGUUGAAAUGUCUUUAGCAGUGUUUGUUCAAUAAAUGCAGAAUGCUUUCUAAA